This is a non-coding RNA of Theobroma umbraticum, 2025 nucleotides long. The record is from RefSeq and is a predicted model, not a curated record. Lineage: Eukaryota; Viridiplantae; Streptophyta; Magnoliopsida; Malvales; Malvaceae.
UAUGAUAGUGAAGGCUCUUUAAUUAUAAUGUUUGUCUUCAUAUAGGGAAAGUAGAAGAAUUUUUCUAAUAAUGAUAAGAUAUACAGCCAGUCACAUUUAAUUAAUUGAUGAAAGCAAAAGGUUUUGGUCCAUACAAGAUCAUGUAGGCAUCAGCAUAAUCUGUUAGUGAUAUUUGUUUAACUAUUUUUUUGUCUUUAUAAACAAUUUUUUAAAAAAAAGAAGAAGAAAGAUUGGUUUAUUUCAAUGUAGCUCUUUGAAGCUUGAAUUCUGUAGAUAAAAUAGCCUUGGAUUGUUCAUAUAUUAUUUUUGAAAGAUUUGGUUAGUUCAUACAUAACUGGCUUAAUCAAGAGAAUGUUUCUCCGCCUUGUGCGCACGUUUCAGAAGAUAUUAUACACUGGUCAUAUCCUAAUUGUAAUUUAUAAAUAAAUUGCAGGAGAUCGUAGAACAGCAAUAUGUUUAAACUUAGUUCUGAUUCGAAGGUUUUUAAUUAAUAUAUUAAUCGAUUAUAGUAUAUUGUGCUUGAAUUAAAUGGAUUGCAGUGUCGUCUUACAUGAUCAAUUGUAUCAAUUUAACCAUAUGCAGUUUUUUUUUCCAGGGUUUAUAUACCAUUGGCAAAACCUUGCCCAUGUAAUCCACUUCCUAAGCUAGUCUAAUUAUUUUUCUCUUUAAUAAUCCCCUUUUAUCUCCUCCCUGGAAAUUAUGAUAUAAUUUGCCUAUUUUCUAUCUCUUUUCUUUCAGCCUUUCCGUUAUUCUUUCGUUUUAUUACCUUUUGUUCUCAAGAAAAAAGAUUAUUGAUGGUAGCUGAAGCCUGAAGCCUUGAAUUUUCUCCCAACUAUAUCUGUUUGCGUUACCAAACACCCGAUUGUUGAAAUUUUCUGCAUUUAUUUUGUUUUACUACACUGCAUUUGCUCCAACCAUCAUUUUACUAGCCAAUGCCAUGCAGAUCUAUUUUUCAUUGUUGUUUUAAUAAUAUUUGGUUUGGUAGUGCAGCUCCUUUGGAUGAAUUAUCUGCCUUCAUUUAGUAGUUCGAUCAAAGUAUAGUUUGGUGCUACGGGGUAUCAUGACCUCCUCAAAUUUGGUUCAAGGACUUCAAAACAAAAUGUUGCCGCGCAAGAGUGUUAAAGAUGGAAGUGUAUAUGUGGAGCUAUAAUUCGAGUUUUGGACCAUCUUCUUGUGACUUAUUCUGAAGGAAUCAAACUUUAUGAAGGCAGAAAGAACACUUGACAAUGCUACCAAUCAAGCACAAGACUUGAGAAGCACAAAGUUAUAAUAAUCAUCAGAUCAGUCGUGUUAGGAUGAUGAAUGGGUGUUCUUUUCAGAUGCAUUGGUAAAAUUUUACCCAACAGCGUAAGUCAAAUGCCCAGAAGUGAGAAAUUGUGUUCUCUUUUUCUUAAAAGAAUAUGAUCUGUGCAAUUUCUAUAAUCUUUACUUAUCAGCUGUUUGCUUUAGUGAAGGAAUAGAUAUUAGGGAAAUGAGCUCAGUCUGCCUAUGGGUAUGCAUAGAAUAGAAAUCGGUUCGACCUGUAGCCAAGUUGACCUUGUACACUUCGAUUAAAUCCGAGACAAAUGCUGAUGUUUGCAGGAUUGUCUGAAACCCCAUGGCAGGUACGCGUUUGUGGUUGGGUGGCGCUGUGAAGCUAAGAAGCCAUUGAUUGCAGAAUUAAUUGAAGGUUAUAUCUCCUACGGUUGAAUCUAGAUGUUACUUGGUGUGACCUCAGACUAGCUCGAGUGGUGGAAAAAGGCUGUUGCCCAUGAAUCCAGCUGUGUUGUUCUUCAAUGUCUCGUACGACUUGUGGGACUAUCGCACAAAGAAAGACAAAAUAUUGCUAUCUCGAUCAUGCCUUCCUCAAGGCAAGGCAAGGCAAUCUGUUGUAUUGAAAUAUUCUGCCUUUCAGUUUAUGGUGAAAUUGAUUUGUUAAGGGUAGAAAUUUCCUAGCUUUGACCAUUCUGCUCUUUAACCCUCUUUCCUGUAAUCGAUAUCAGGGAUGGAUUUAUGACUGAAUAAUCAAUAUACAAAAAAACGGAG